GAUGAAGAACGUAGCGAAAUGCGAUAAGUAAUGUGAAUUGCAGAAUUCAGUGAAUCAUCGAAUCUUUGAACGCACAUUGCGCCCGCCAGUAUUCUGGCGGGCAUGCCCGUUCGAGCGUCAUUACAACCCUCAGGCCCCCGGGCCUGGCGUUGGGGAUCGGCGGAGCCCCCCGUGGGCACACGCCGUCCCCCAAAUGCAGUGGCGGUCCCGCCGCAGCUUCCAUCGCGUAGUAGCUAACACCUCGCGACUGGAGAGCGGCGCGGCCACGCCGUAAAACACCCAACUCUUCUGAAGUUGACCUCGAAUCAGGUAGGAAUACCCGCUGAACUUAAGCAUAUCAAUAAGCGGAGGA
This 352-nucleotide unclassified non-coding RNA is filed under the name soil metagenome. RNAcentral's name for it is "partial contains 5.8S ribosomal RNA, internal transcribed spacer 2, and large subunit ribosomal RNA". The stretch from base 1 to 120 matches the Rfam family "5.8S ribosomal RNA", at positions 35 to 154 of the family's 154-position model. The record is from RNAcentral.